GCCCACUUAGCUCAGUUGGUUAGAGCAUCUGACUGUUAAUCAGAGGGUCCCAGGUUCGAGUCCUGGAGUGGGCG
This 74-nucleotide transfer RNA is filed under the name Longimicrobium terrae. It matches the Rfam family "tRNA". Rfam says of the family: Transfer RNA (tRNA) molecules are approximately 80 nucleotides in length. Their secondary structure includes four short double-helical elements and three loops (D, anti-codon, and T loops). Further hydrogen bonds mediate the characteristic L-shaped molecular structure. tRNAs have two regions of fundamental functional importance: the anti-codon, which is responsible for specific mRNA codon recognition, and the 3' end, to which the tRNAs corresponding amino acid is attached (by aminoacyl-tRNA synthetases). tRNAs cope with the degeneracy of the genetic code in two manners: having more than one tRNA (with a specific anti-codon) for a particular amino acid; and 'wobble' base-pairing, i.e. permitting non-standard base-pairing at the 3rd anti-codon position. RNAcentral also lists the same sequence under 5 other names. The record is from Rfam by way of RNAcentral. Lineage: Bacteria; Pseudomonadati; Gemmatimonadota; Longimicrobiia; Longimicrobiales; Longimicrobiaceae.